Molecule: ribosomal RNA, 465 nt
Filed under: Vreelandella stevensii
Lineage: Bacteria; Pseudomonadati; Pseudomonadota; Gammaproteobacteria; Oceanospirillales; Halomonadaceae
Description: partial 16S ribosomal RNA
Rfam family: Bacterial small subunit ribosomal RNA
Source: RNAcentral
CCUACGGGGGGCAGCAGUGGGGAAUAUUGGACAAUGGGCGAAAGCCUGAUCCAGCCAUGCCGCGUGUGUGAAGAAGGCCUUCGGGUUGUAAAGCACUUUCAGUGGGGAAGAAAGCCUUGGGGCUAAUACCCUCGAGGAAGGACAUCACCCACAGAAGAAGCACUGGCUAACUCCGUGCCAGCAGCCGCGGUAAUACGGAGGGUGCGAGCGUUAAUCGGAAUUACUGGGCGUAAAGCGCGCGUAGGCGGUCUGAUAAGCCGGUUGUGAAAGCCCCGGGCUCAACCUGGGAACGGCAUCCGGAACUGUCAGGCUAGAGUGCAGGAGAGGAAGGUAGAAUUCCCGGUGUAGCGGUGAAAUGCGUAGAGAUCGGGAGGAAUACCAGUGGCGAAGGCGGCCUUCUGGACUGACACUGACGCUGAGGUGCGAAAGCGUGGGUAGCAAACAGGAUUAGAUACCCCUGUAGUC